UACGAGUGCCCCAAGCGUUAUCCGGAAUUAUUGGGCGUAAAGGGUGCGUAGGCGGUUGUGUUAGUCUCAUGUCAAAUUCUUCGGCUUAACCGGGGUACCGCAUGGGAUACGGCACAACUAGAGGAUGCGAGGGGUGAGUGGAACUCAUGGAGUAGGGGUGAAAUCCGUUGAUAUCAUGGGGAACACCGAAAGCGAAGGCAGCUCACUGGCGCACUCCUGACGCUGAAACACGAAAGCGUGGGUAGCGAAUGGG
This 253-nucleotide ribosomal RNA is filed under the name uncultured bacterium. Its description in RNAcentral is "partial 16S ribosomal RNA". It matches the Rfam family "Bacterial small subunit ribosomal RNA", at positions 524 to 776 of the family's 1533-position model. The record is from RNAcentral.